UUGAUUACGUCCCUGCCCUUUGUACACACCGCCCGUCGCUGCCCGGGACUGAGCCAUUUCGAGAAACUUGGGGAUUGUUGGUUUAGCGGUUUUCGGAUCGCUUCAUCGAUGAGAACCAAUUUAAUCGCAGUGGCUUGAACCGGGCAAAAGUCGUAACAAGGUGGCUGUAGGUGAACCUGCUGCCGGAUCAUUACUCAUGUAUUGAUCACAUACACACUUUUGUGUGCAUCCGUGUAGAUCACCGCUAUUGUCUGGUUAGCGGUGGUCCGAUGAAGUAGCGUAUGCAUCUGGCUUGUCUGAUGGGCUAGCUUUUCGGCCACUAAGCCUAAUGUGGCUGACUCUAGCCCGCUGGUUGCAUGUUAUGGAGUCGACGCUUGUCUGGUAGCGUUGCACGGACCGUGCCCGUGAUUUGGUCAUUGUCCGUUGACCCGUUGUGCUGGAUGGUGUCUGUCUGGAACGCCAGUCCAGUUCGGCGUUCAUAGGGCCUAACGGCUUUGCUGGCGUCUAUGCGUGGUUGAGCAGUUGUUGUCUCUCCGUCCGUGGCUGUGAUGAGACCGCGCGUUAGGGCCCAUGCCUUGCCUCUGGCAUGUUGGCUUAAGAACUUGAUGAGCGCGAUGCCUUGCGCCGCCAGUACCCACUUUUUUCAUUAUUUUUUUUUGUUGGAAGCAAAGCAAAUUCAAGUCUUAUCGGUGGAUCACUCGGCUCGUAGAUCGAUGAAGAACGCAGCUAACUGCGAUAAUUAGUGUGAACUGCAGAAACCUUGAACACGGCAAAUUUCGAAUGCACAUUGCGCCAUUGGAGCAAUAUCCUUUGGCAUGCUUUGCUCAGGGUCGCAUUACAAAAGCGCUAGCUUAUUGCGUAUAACAGUGCGUUAGAUCACGUUAGACCGCCGUCGAAACCAAGCUUGGUGGAGGUGGACUGUCACGUGUUCUUUCGAUAGUGAUAUUCUGGGACGUCUUGUCUGGCCCUGGUUUUGGUUCAGCUAUGGAUCUAUUGUUUCAGCGUUGUUGUGGAGUGUCUCUUUGCAGCAGCCACGGUCUAUAGCUGUUCUAGCCAGUUGUGUCUCUAGACGUUGUUAUCCCCAGUUGAAUAAUUGAAUUUUCGACCUGAGCUAAAGCGUGAAUACCCGCUGAACUUAAGCAUAUCAGUAAGCGGAGGAAAAGAAACUAACAAGGAUUCCCUUAGUAACGGCGAGUGAAA
Molecule: ribosomal RNA, 1200 nt
Filed under: Belonolaimus longicaudatus
Lineage: Eukaryota; Metazoa; Nematoda; Chromadorea; Rhabditida; Belonolaimidae
Description: eukaryotic LSU rRNA
Rfam family: Eukaryotic small subunit ribosomal RNA (bases 1-193)
Source: RNAcentral